RNAcentral lists this ribosomal RNA (931 nucleotides) under uncultured bacterium. RNAcentral describes it as "bacterial SSU rRNA". It matches the Rfam family "Bacterial small subunit ribosomal RNA", at positions 28 to 974 of the family's 1533-position model. The record is from RNAcentral.
GACGAACGCUGGCGGCGUGCUUAACACAUGCAAGUCGAGCGAUGAAGCACCUUCGGGUGUGAAUUAGCGGCGAACGGGUGAGGAACACGUGAGAAAUCUGCCUUCAACUCUGGGAUAACUCCGUGAAAACGGGGCUAAUACCGGAUAUGAGAUCUACAGGCAUCUGUGGAUCUGGAAAGUUUUUCGGUUGAAGAUGAUCUCGCGGCCUAUCAGCUUGUUGGUGAGGUAAUGGCUCACCAAGGCGGCGACGGGUAGCCGGCCUGAGAGGGCGACCGGCCACACUGGGACUGAGACACGGCCCAGACUCCUACGGGAGGCAGCAGUGGGGAAUAUUGGGCAAUGGAGGAAACUCUGACCCAGCGACGCCGCGUGCGGGAUGAAGGCCUUCGGGUUGUAAACCGCUUUCAGCAGGGAAGAAGCGAAAGUGACGGUACCUGCAGAAGAAGCACCGGCUAACUAUGUGCCAGCAGUCGCGGUAAUACAUAGGGUGCAAGCGUUGUCCGGAAUUAUUGGGCGUAAAGAGCUCGUAGGUGGUUCGUCACGUCGGAUGUGAAACUCUGGGGCUUAACCCCAGACCUGCAUUCGAUACGGGCGAGCUUGAGUAUGGUAGGGGAGUCUGGAAUUCCUGGUGUAGCGGUGGAAUGCGCAGAUAUCANGAGGAACACCAAUGGCGAAGGCAGGACUCUGGGCCAUUACUGACACUGAGGAGCGAAAGCGUGGGGAGCGAACAGGAUUAGAUACCCUGGUAGUCCACGCCGUAAACGGUGGGCACUAGUUGUGGGGACCUUCCACGGUCUCUGCGACGCANCUAACGCAUUAAGUGCCCCGCCUGGGGAGUACGAUCGCAAGAUUAAAACUCAAAGGAAUUGACGGGGCCCCGCACAAGCAGCGGANCAUGCGGCUUAAUUCGACGCAACGCGAANAACCUUAC